RNAcentral lists this microRNA precursor (103 nucleotides) under Marmota monax (woodchuck). Lineage: Eukaryota; Metazoa; Chordata; Mammalia; Rodentia; Sciuridae. The record is from RNAcentral.
AAUGGGAUAACUGGGACAAAUCAUGGUUCUAGUCUAAGUUUUUUGAGGAAUUUCCAUAUUGCUUUCCAGAGUGAUUGCACCAAUUUGCAGUCCCACCAGUAAU